AUGGCUUGCGCUCGUGUGUGCGUCGUGCUUCUUUGCUGCUCCCUCCCGGCCUCCGCCGCGGCUGGUGCAGGUGCAGGUGCAGGUGCGGCCGCCGGCGCCGGCCCGGCCGAUGCGGAUGGGGAUCCUUCCAAGGAGAUGGAGUGCAAGCUGAAGAGCAUCACGGUGUCGGCGCUGCCUUUCCUGCGGGAGAACGACCUGAGCAUCAUGCACAGCCCGUCGGCCUCCGAGCCCAAGCUACUCUUCUCGGUGCGCAACGAUUUCCCCGGCGAGAUGGUGGUGGUCGACGACCUGGAGAACACCGAGCUGCCCUACUUCGUGCUGGAGAUUUCAGGCAACACAGAAGAUAUCCCAUUGGUGCGUUGGAGGCAGCAGUGGCUGGAAAAUGGCACGCUGCUUUUCCAUAUCCACCACCAAGAUGGCACUCCCAGCUUGCCUGGUUUGGAACCCACAGAAGAACCCCAGAGCGAAUCGGCAGAAGAAGAGCUAAGAAUCCUUCACAUCUCAGUAAUGGGAGGGAUGAUUGCCUUGCUGCUUUCUAUCUUGUGUCUCGUCAUGAUCCUCUACACGCGCCGGCGUUGGUGCAAGCGCCGCCGGGUGCCGCAGCCCCAGAAAAGUGCCAGCGCUGAAGCGGCCAAUGAGAUUCACUAUAUCCCCUCUGUGCUGAUUGGGGGCCACGGCCGGGAGAGCUUGCGCAAUGCCCGGGUGCAAGGCCACAACUCCAGCGGGACUCUGAGUAUCCGGGAGACUCCCAUCCUAGAUGGCUAUGAGUAUGACAUCACUGACUUGCGCCACCACCUGCAGCGGGAAUGCAUGAAUGGUGGUGAGGACUUUGCCAGCCAGGUCACCAGAACACUGGACUCGCUGCAGGGUUGCAAUGAGAAGUCAAGCAUGGAUCUCGCGCCAGGAAGUGACAAUGCCAAGCUGUCCUUGAUGAACAAGUACAAGGAUAAUAUCAUCGCCACCAGUCCUGUGGACUCCAACCACCAACAGGCUACACUGCUCUCUCAUACGUCCAGUAGCCAACGCAAGCGGAUCAAUAACAAGUCACGAGCUGGCUCUGCAUUUCUGAAUCCUGAAGCGGAUUCUGGGACAGAAGCGGACAAUGAUCCCCAGCUGACCUUUUACACAGACCCAUCGCGGAGCCGGCGGCGAAGUAGAGUGGGUUCACCAAGGAGUCCAGUAAGCAAGACUACCCUGACGCUUAUUAGCAUCACCAGCUGCGUCAUUGGCCUGGUCUGUGCCUCCCACGUGAACUGCCCACUUGUGGUCAAGAUAACACUGCAUGUUCCAGAGCACCUUAUUGCUGACGGGAGCCGCUUUAUCUUGCUAGAGGGCAGCCAGUUAGAUGCCAGUGACUGGUUAAACCCUGCCCAGGUGGUUCUCUUCUCCCAGCAAAACUCCAGUGGGCCCUGGGCCUUGGACUUGUGCUCCCGCCGGCUUCUUGACCCCUGCGAACAUGAGUGUGACCCUGAAACUGGCGAAUGCCUUUGCUAUGAAGGUUACAUGAAGGAUCCAGUGCACAAGCACCUUUGCAUCAGGAAUGAAUGGGGCACAAACCAAGGGCCAUGGCCAUAUACCAUAUUCCAACGUGGAUUUGAUUUGGUGCUGGGAGAACAGCCUUCUGACAAGAUAUUCAGAUUUACCUACACUCUUGGGGAAGGAAUGUGGUUGCCACUGAGCAAGAGCUUUGUAAUCCCACCAGCUGAACUGGCCAUCAAUCCAUCUGCCAAGUGCAAAACGGACAUGACAGUAAUGGAGGAUGCUGUGGAGGUCAGGGAGGAACUGAUGACUUCAUCCUCCUUUGACAGCCUGGAGGUUCUUCUGGAUUCAUUUGGGCCAGUUCGGGACUGCUCCAAGGACAAUGGUGGCUGCAGCAAGAACUUCCGUUGCAUUGCAGAUCGGAAAUUGGACUCCACUGGUUGUAUGUGCCCCCCUGGGCUCAGCCCCAUGAAAGAUGGCACAGGCUGCUACGAUCGCCACAUCGGUGUGGACUGCUCGGAUGGGUUUAAUGGAGGUUGUGAGCAGCUUUGUCUGCAGCAGAUGGUGCCUUUGCCAGAAGAUCCCACUUUGUACAAUAUCCUCAUGUUCUGUGGAUGCAUUGAAGAUUACAAGCUAGGGAUGGAUGGGCGAUCGUGCCAGUUAAUUUCGGAGUCCUGUCCAGAGGGUGGCGACUGUGAAGAGAGCCGAGAGCUGCCCAUGAACCAAACUUUAUUUGGGGAGAUGUUCUAUGGUUACAACAAUCAAACCCGUGAGGUGGCACCUGGACAGGUGCUGAAGGGAAUAUUCAGGCAGAAUAACUUUGCACGUGGUUUGGAGCAGCAACUGCCAGAUGGGCUGGUGUUGGCCACCGUUCCACUAGAGAACCAGUGCCAGGAAGAGCUCUCUGAGCCAACCCCUGAUCCAGAUUUUCUAACUGGGAUGGUGAAUUUCAGUGAGGUGUCUGGAUACCCUCUGCUGCAACUCUGGAAAGUGCACUCUGUCAUGUACCAUGUCCGGCUCAACCAGCUGACUACCUCUCAAUCUUUUGGCAAUGCCCUCCAUUCUUUGGAUGGAGCCACAUCCCGAGGAGAUUUUGUAGCUCUCCUGGACCACUUUGGCAACCAUUAUAUCCAGGAAGCGGUCUACGGCUUUGAGGAGUCCUGCUCUAUCUGGUAUCCCAACCGGCAGGUCCAAAAGCAGCUCUGGCUGGAAUAUGAAGAUAUCAGCAAAGGUAAUUCCCCCUCGGAUGAGUCUGAAGAGCGUGAGCGAGAUCCCAGGGUCCUCACUUUUCCAGAGUACAUUGCCAGUUUGUCAGAAUCGGGGACCAAGCGCAUGGCAGCCGGCGUGCGUAUGGAGUGCCAAAGCAGAGGCCGCUGCCCUUCAUCCUGUCCUUUAUGUCACGUGACCUCUAGCCCAGAUGCUCUGGCUGAACCCAUCCUCCUGGAGGUCACCAAAGCAGCACCCAUUUAUGAGCUGGUCACCAACAAUCAGACUCAGAAGCUGUUGCAGGAGGCCACCAUGAGUUCCCUGUGGUGCUCGGGCAGUGGGGAUGUCAUCGAGGACUGGUGCCGGUGUGACUCAAGCGCAUUCGGCGCUGACGGGCUUCCAGCCUGUGCACCCCUCCCACACCCUGUGCUGAGGCUGUCCACUGUUCACGAGCCCAGCAGCUCCCUGGUGGUGCUGGAGUGGGAGCACUCGGAACCCCCAAUCGGGGUGCAGAUUGUUGAUUACCUCAUCCGCCAGGAGAAGGUCACGGACCGCUUGGACCAUUCCAAGGUGGAAACUGAGAUGGUGCUGAGUUUUGUGGACGACAUCAUCUCUGGAGCCAAGUCCCCCUGCGUGAUGCCAGCACAGGUGCCCGACAAACUCUCUACAACCAUCUCCUUGAUCAUUCGCUGCUUGGAGCCUGAUACCACCUACAUGUUCACGCUCUGGGGUGUGGAUAACACAGGGAGACGCUCAAGAUCAAGUGAUGUGACAGUGAAGACCCCUUGUCCAGUGGUGGAUGAUGUGAAGGCCCAAGAAAUAGCAGACAAGAUCUACAACCUCUUUAAUGGCUACACCAGUGGGAAGGAGCAGCAAACUGCCUACAACACCCUUCUGGACCUGGGCUCACCGAGUCUUCACCGGGUCCGCUAUCACUACAACCAGCACUACGAGAGCUUUGGGGAGUUCACCUGGCGGUGUGAGGAUGAACUGGGACCUCGAAAAGCUGGCCUCAUCCUUUCACAGCUUGCGGAACUCAGCACCUGGUGCCAGGGCCUCUUACAGGAGCCCAAGAUUGGCCUUCAGCGCACAUCUCUCAAAUUCCUUGCCUGCCGCUACAGUGAGAUCAAGCCAUAUGGAUUCAGCUGGUUGGAGCUGAGUCGGGACCUCAAGAAAACCUGUGAAGAACAGUUGCUGAGUGUCCUCUACAAUGACUAUGGGGAUAAAGACAACUGAGUGGGCUCAAGGAAAGAAGUCAAAGGACUUCCUCAGAGUCAGGGGGAAGACAGGGAAUUUGUAGGCACCAUUCAUUGGAUUCCUAAAGCUUUAGAUCUUCUUGGCCAAAAGCUGACUUUAUGGUGCUGUGGGACCACUACAUCCUGUGUCCAUUGCCACUUGCAAAGUAGCCCAACAUUGCUCGUUUAAUAAGCAUUUAAAACAGUAUUAUAAUACAAAACAGGAAAGCCACCAUGCUCUUCAGGAUUAUUAAUCUGCUUCAGUGAGUUCACACUAGAUUGUGUUGUGCUUUUAAAGUGUGCUUUAUUCUACUAAUUUGCAGAUAUAUCCA
Elgaria multicarinata webbii is the source of this 4252-nucleotide RNA transcript. It is a transcript of the gene named astrotactin 1, with no coding region annotated. NCBI's taxonomy places the organism in Eukaryota, Metazoa, Chordata, Lepidosauria, Squamata, Anguidae. The record is from RefSeq and is a predicted model, not a curated record. The transcript is spliced from 24 exons.